UGGGGAAUUUUGGACAAUGGGCGCAAGCCUGAUCCAGCCAUGCCGCGUGCGGGAAGAAGGCCUUCGGGUUGUAAACCGCUUUUGUCAGGGAAGAAAUCUUCUGAGUUAAUACCUCGGGAGGAUGACGGUACCUGAAGAAUAAGCACCGGCUAACUGCGUGCCAGCAGCCGCGGUAAUACGUAGGGUGCAAGCGUUAAUCGGAAUUACUGGGCGUAAAGCGUGCGCAGGCGGCUUUGUAAGACAGAGGUGAAAUCCCCGGGCUCAACCUGGGAACUGCCUUUGUGACUGCAAGGCUUGAGUGCGGCAGAGGGGGGAUGGAAUUCCGCGUGUAGCAGUGAAAUGCGUAGAUAUGCGGAGGAACACCGAUGGCGAAGGCAAUCCCCUGGGCCUGCACUGACGCUCAUGCACGAAAGCGUGGGGAGCAAACAGGAUUAGAUACCCUGGUAGUCCACGCCCUAAACGAUGUCAACUGGUUGUUGGGAAGGUUCCUUCUCAGUAACGUAGCUAACGCGUGAAGUUGACCGCCUGGGGAGUACGGCCGCAAGGUUGAAACUCAAAUGAAUUGACGGGGUCA
This 574-nucleotide ribosomal RNA is filed under the name uncultured bacterium. RNAcentral describes it as "partial 16S ribosomal RNA". It matches the Rfam family "Bacterial small subunit ribosomal RNA", at positions 355 to 921 of the family's 1533-position model. The record is from RNAcentral.